GUGCAUUUGUAUGGUCUGGAGAAGGUUACUUGUCUUAUAGUUUAGCUGCUUUAUCUGUCUUUGGUUUUAUCGCUUGUUGUUUUGUAUGGUUCAAUAAUACAGCUUAUCCGAAUGAGUUUUAUGGACCCACCGGGCCAGAAGCUUCUCAAGCUCAAACAUUUACUUUUCUAG
This 171-nucleotide ribosomal RNA is filed under the name Triticum aestivum (bread wheat). RNAcentral describes it as "partial small subunit ribosomal RNA". The record is from RNAcentral. Lineage: Eukaryota; Viridiplantae; Streptophyta; Magnoliopsida; Poales; Poaceae.